Molecule: ribosomal RNA, 253 nt
Filed under: uncultured bacterium
Lineage: Bacteria
Description: partial 16S ribosomal RNA
Rfam family: Bacterial small subunit ribosomal RNA
Source: RNAcentral
UACGGAGGGUGCAAGCGUUAUCCGGAUUCACUGGGUUUAAAGGGUGCGUAGGAGGGCAGGGAAGUCAGUGGUGAAAUCUCCGGGCUUAACUCGGAAACUGCCGUUGAUACUCUCUGUCUUGAAUCCCGUGGAGAUGAGCGGAAUAUGUCAUGUAGCGGUGAAAUGCUUAGAUAUGACAUAGAACACCGAUUGCGAAGGCAGCUCGUUACACGAAGAUUGACUCUGAGGCACGAAAGCGUGGGGAUCAAACAGG